This 356-nucleotide RNase P RNA is filed under the name Spirochaetota bacterium. Its description in RNAcentral is "Spirochaetes bacterium RNase P RNA component class A". It matches the Rfam family "Bacterial RNase P class A". Rfam says of the family: Ribonuclease P (RNase P) is a ubiquitous endoribonuclease, found in archaea, bacteria and eukarya as well as chloroplasts and mitochondria. Lineage: Bacteria; Pseudomonadati; Spirochaetota. The record is from RNAcentral.
CAGACCUGUAGAUUGGUUGUGGGUAGGUAAGACUAUUUUGUCCUUACUACCUGAGGAAAGUCCGGGCUCCUAAAGGGCAGGGUGCUGGGUAAUUCCCAGGAGGAGUGAUCCUACGGAUAGUGCAACAGAAAGUAUACCGCGUGCAGCUGGCGACAUUAGUCGUGAGCCUUCCACGUAAGGGUGAAAAGGCGAGGUAAGAGCUCACCGCCUGAAAUGGUGACAUUUCAGAGGCUUGUAAACCCCACCUGGAGCAAGGCCAAAUAAACAGGCAUAAAGUGACCCGCUUUUGCCUCACGGGUAGGCCGCUUAGAUAGAUGACCAUUAAAACAGAACCCGGCUUACUACAGGUCUGUUUA